RNAcentral lists this ribosomal RNA (264 nucleotides) under uncultured bacterium. RNAcentral describes it as "partial 16S ribosomal RNA". It matches the Rfam family "Bacterial small subunit ribosomal RNA", at positions 524 to 787 of the family's 1533-position model. The record is from RNAcentral.
UACAGAGGGUGCGAGCGUUGUCCGGAAUCACUGGGCGUAAAGAGUGUGUAGGCGGUGCUCUAAGUUCGGUGUGAAAUCUCCUGGCUCAACUGGGAGGGUGCGCCGGAAACUGGAGUGCUUGAGCGUGGGAGAGGAAAGCGGAAUUCCUGGUGUAGCGGUGAAAUGCGUAGAUAUCAGGAGGAACACCUGUGGUGUAGACGCUUUCUGGACCAUAGCUGACGCUGAGACACGAAAGCGUGGGGAGCAAACAGGAUUAGACUACCC